CUUGUAUCAUCAGAAGCAAACAACCCAGGUGGCGCACUUCAAAAUGCUCCUGUGCAAAUAGGGGAAAGUUCAAAAAUUCUAUCAUCAAUGCUUUCUACUCCUUGUAGUUCAGCAGUCCCUAGUCCAAGCAUGGUUGGCAGUACAACAGCUGGAAUAUCUGACUUUCCUCAUUUCACUCCUACACUUCCAUCUGCCCACACUAAUUUUGUUUCUCCUGUAUUGAAUCAAGAAUCUGUUUUUGUAAUUGAAGGAAAUCAGGUGCCCCCUUCUCUAUCACAUGACCGAGUUUUAGAUAACAAUAAUGUCCACUUGCAUCAGUUCAGGGCUGAUAGCUCGAUUGCAAAUAAUGAAUAUGGAAAAAAUGCAAAUAGAGUUUCAGUCACAACUAUGAACUUCCCAAACCAAGCCCAGUGUUCAAGGCCAUCUGAACAAAUGAGAAAUCUAAUUUCCUGGAUGCCAAAUAGAGCCUCUUUUGCCUCUUACCAGAACAUGCCUUU
RNAcentral lists this unclassified non-coding RNA (497 nucleotides) under Hevea brasiliensis (rubber tree). The record is from RNAcentral. Lineage: Eukaryota; Viridiplantae; Streptophyta; Magnoliopsida; Malpighiales; Euphorbiaceae.